CCUACGGGUGGCAGCAGUGGGGAAUAUUGCACAAUGGGGGCAACCCUGAUGCAGCGACGCCGCGUGAGUGAAGAAGUACUUCGGUAUGUAAAGCUCUAUCAGUAGGGAAGAAAAUGACGGUACCUGAGUCAGAAGCCCCGGCUAACUACGUGCCAGCAGCCGCGGUAAUACGGAGGGGGCAAGCGUUAUCCGGAUUUACUGGGUGUAAAGGGAGCGUAGACGGCAGGGCAAGUCUGGAGUGAAAGUCGGGGGCUCAAUCGCCGGAUUGCUCUGGAAACUGUACGGCUGGAGUGCAGGAGAGGUAAGUAGAAUUCCUGGUGUAGCGGUGAAAUGCGUAGAUAUUAGGAGGAACACCAGUGGCGAAGGCGGCUUACUGGACUGUAACUGACGUUGAGGCUCGAAAGCGUGGGGAGCAAACAGGAUUAGAUACCCGGGUAGUC
This 440-nucleotide ribosomal RNA is filed under the name uncultured bacterium. RNAcentral describes it as "partial 16S ribosomal RNA". It matches the Rfam family "Bacterial small subunit ribosomal RNA", at positions 338 to 795 of the family's 1533-position model. The record is from RNAcentral.